UGUCAUGUUGUGUCCAUAGGCGCGCUCCUACUUGUGGGACGCCCGCCAUUGCAAUCGCGAAUAAAUUCUGCUUUUAUCAGAGGUACCGUCCUGACAAAAUUACUUGGAUUAUUUCCAACAAUUUGGGGGCUCGUCCGGGAUUAUGAUCGCCUCUUUGAGAGUUUCCCUACUGCCCUGCACAGGAUAGGUGCACCCCGCUGAUUUCAGCGGUCCUGUCUGGGUGCUGAGGUGACUCCUUGGUACGGCCGAUAAAAAACCGAGACUGUUUCAUAGAGGACGGACUCUGUAAAAGCCAAGGGGCAGGUAGGCACGGGUGUUGGCCAUUGCGACCCGGUAACUUCGUGCACGGACCAAGGUAAGGGGAUUUAACUCUUUCCUUGGGGGUCGGUUGAGACUCUUUGAGUGUGUGUGACUGAGACGCGCCGUCAGCGCGAAGCGAGUGCUGAGUCCCGCCCUGCGGUUCCGCUGUGCCGCGAGGGGCGCGGCCAGGGACGGACGAAGCGGCUGUGUUGGUGAAAGGAAGAGUCUCGGGAGGGAGCUGUUGGUGUGCGGUACCCUGUGCACUUGACGAAGUGCCAGCAGUACACCCCUAUUAAUCCGAGAUAGGAGUAUAGUACUCCUGAGGGAUUGGGCCCAAAAUCCGAGAAUCAGAGUGUGGUAACCUGUGAGCUGGGGAGUUCACAGUAGCAUUCUGGAGGGAUGGGUAAUAGGAGUUCCCGAGAGCAGGGGAAAAAGGUCCCCGGAAUGGUGCCUAGAGAGAGCCAGCCCCUUGGGAGAAGUGUUUCAAAAUUGGAAAAUAAUCCCAAAACUAGGAAAAGAACAGGGAAAAGAUGUUUAAAUACUGUAUACAGUAGGGAGCCACUACAGGGAAAAUCAUUAUUUUGACCAAAAUAGGAGUCUGAAGAAAAUUGGGCCUAUUUAUAUGUAAACAGUAAGACUCCUUUUUCUGAAACAGAAUUGGCUUAGGUCGCUUAAUGAGUGCAAGAAGAAAAGAAAUGUUCCUCGCGAGGAGUCCAAGUUCAAAGGAAAUGGGAAAGAAGCAGAAAGAUCAUAAAUGGGAUCCCUUAGAUAACUUCCCCCCCCUUUAAUUUCUAAAGCAGUGCAAUUUUUAAAGCGGCGGUGACCUCUCCAGAGGAGGAAAGUGGGUGCUGCUGAUCUGUGCAGGGUCCUGGAGAGAGGAUGCGCUCUCAAUUACUGAGGGAGUUGGAGUCAUGCGAAUGGGACCUGGAUAGUUUUCCUUUCUCUAAUACUAACCUUACUAAUACUUCACUUUGUCCUCUUAAGGCAGUCUUAGGUCAAAGGGAAAAAAGGUGCGGUAAUGCCUGCUGUUUUUACUAGAAGUUAGGAGUUGCAAGAAAAAUUCCUUAACUGAGGAUCCUAUAAGUGUAGCAGAACAAUUAGAUCAAUUUCUAGGGCCUAAUUUGUACUCAUGGAUGGAAAUGAUAUUUAUCAUUGAUAUGUUGUUUAUUGGAGAAGGAGGUUGGCAGCUAUGCAAGUGUGAGAAAUGAAUACAGAGGGAAGGUUGAGCUCUGGAGGAAGGCAGAGAGAGAGGAAGGAUCCUGAGGAUAAAUUGUACUGAUUAUUGUCACUGUCUGUGUGAUUGUUAAGUGUUUAUGUCCUGAAGGUGUUGUGUUAUGUUAUGUUGUGUACGAGGCUGUUAUGGAACAAGGGGUGUCUAAAGUGAUAUGAGAAGACCCCCUGGGUUGUAUUUUGGCUCACUGGAGAAACAUUGUUGGUGAGCCAGGGGGAAUAUUGAAUGAGAAACCAGGAACGUAAAUGGAGUAAUGGGACCAGUUGUAUAAUUGAGUGCCCUAAUCAUGAGACCAAGUGCUGGCUGUUUGUGGAAGUUGAGGAAUUGUGUUGUUUGAUUUGUGGAUUUUGAAGGCACUAGGAGAAACUGUCUUAAUGGUAUGUGGAAAUUAUGUGGAAAUGCAGCUUUUAAUGGUAUGUGGAAAUGCAGCUUUUAAUGGUAUGUGGAAAUGCAGUUUUAAUGGUAUGUGGAAAUGCAGUUUUAAUGGUAUAUGAAAAUGCAGAAAUGCAAUUUUAAUGCUAUGUGGAAAUUGUGUGGAAAUGCAGUUUUUAAUGGGAUGUGGAAAUUGUGUGGAAAUGCAACUUUUAAUGGUAUGUGGAAAUUGUGUGGAAGUGCAAUUUUAAUGGUAUGUAGAAAUGCAGUUGUUAACGGUAUAUGGAAAUUAUGUGGAAAUGCAGUUUUUAAUGGUAUGUGGAAAUGCAAUUGUUAAUGGUAUGUGGAAUUGCAGUUGAGGGUACAAAUAGUGGAAUUGUGGAAAAACAAACAAACAAACAAACAAAAAAAAGAAUGGCAAAAAGGUGAAGGAAAACAGUGAGUUUGGGAUAUUGGAGUUGGGCCGGCACGAGAACACAGCCCCGCACACCCCCCCACUGCGGCCUGUAAGAACAGCUUGGAGUGGGAGAAAGAGCUGGGGGCCGGAGCCUCCCGCUGUGAUGUGAAGGGGUGCAGUGCUUGUGAAUGGGGAUGGGACGGACAUUGGAAGUGAGAAUAGCCGGCAUCUGCAGAGCUGGGGAAACCCGGUAUCAGUGUGAGCACUGGAAGCCUGGGGAGAGAAGGGAGUGAAACUGAAAUACGAUGUUAGUAAUGGCUGUGAUGAUGAGAGUUUGGGAAGUGAAAAGGGCUUGGGAAAAACAAACUGAGGAAGGCAAAGUUGAGCAAGGUUAACAGGGAUGUCCUUACCUAGAAGAAGAGGUAAGGGGAGCCUGGAAGGGCUCAGGGAGAGUUCCACCCUGCCAGGACCGAAAGCAGCAGGGGAAGCAGGCUGAAGAGGUUUAUUUUCUGGUACCUCUGGGUGCGUCUUACUGUUACCCGUAGGUGAUUUUUGUAAUAGUUGUAGCAGCUACUGGCAAGAGAAGUUUACUUUUUUUUGGACCAAUUAAAUACAGGCUAGGAGAACAAGUAGGAAUAUAUAAAUUCUUGUACAUGCCAGGUUUUCCAAAACCAUUAUUUGGGCAUGACAUGUUAGAAUAGUUGAAUGUAGAGAUUAAAUUCAGUAGAGACGAUUGGACCUACUUGUCAAGCAAGAGCAAUGGACUGAAAAUUUUAAGUCUGGCUUUAACACAAACUGGGAAAAGCAAUGUUGUACUCCCAGAAGUUACGUAAAUCCUACAUUGGGUAUACACAGGAUUGCAGGCAUCAGGGAUGCCUGGCAGAGCCAAAAAUGCAGCCCAAUGAAAGUUAAGUUAAAGGUGGGAGCCAGCCCAACCAGGGUAAAGCAAUGCCUUUUGAGGAUACGAGAUUGUAGGAGGGUAAAAGAAAUAAUAACUUUUUGGAUUUUGGAUUACUAAUUGGAUAGAAAUCCAAAUACAACACCCAAUCUUGCAAAUGAAAAAUUGGAUGGCAAGAGCUAUAGUUUGGUACAAGGUUUGAGGGCAAUUAAUAGAAAAGUUGAAUAUAUACAACACAUGGUGUAUAUCUUUAUUAACCAAGUUAAGGAAUAAGUAGGUGGGUUUUACCGUUCUGGACUUGAAGUACACCUUUUUCUGCCUGGUUUUGCAAAAGAAAGUCUAAAAUUAUUUGCCUUUGAAUAGAAAAACUCAAAUAUGGAGAGAAUAAUAAUAAUUCAGUUAACCUGCACAGUGUUACCCAGGGUUGUGAGAACAGCCCAAUGAUUUUUGAGAACUGGUCAACUCGUGAGCCUGAGAUUUGGGUUCACCAUCUCACAGUGGAACUUUACUGCAGUACGUGGAUGCUGCAGUAACGAAGGACUGUGUGCAAUGGACUGUGAGCUUGCUGAAUUUCUUGAUUUAAAUGGCUAUCAAGUUUCUCAACAGAAAGAACAACUGAUCAAAGAGAAGGAAGCAGCUUGCUGAACACCCAGAACGCCAAUGCAGAGCUGCCUCCAAGCCAGCAGUGUGCGACUGCAUGGAGGCUGUCUGUGCCAGCUGUCAGAGCUACAGGAGGAACCGUUGGACGAUGCUGAGGAGUCCUGGAUUCAUCGACGGAAGCAGUUUUGUGAAGACAAGGAAACCGGAAGGCAGGACAUGCAGUAACUGCUACUGACAAGGUAAUUGAAGCACAACCAUUACCUGUGGGGACUUCCACUCAGAAGGCUGAAAUAAUUGCCUUGACAAGAACCUUAAAUAUAUGGAUGGAUGCUAAAUAUGCUUUUGGGGUGGUACCCACUCGUGGUACCAUCUGGAAAGAGCAAGGAUUGUUUACACACAAGGAAAACAAAUUCAGCAUGAUGUAAAUCUACCAAAGAACAUCAUGGCUGUUAUACAUUGUAAAGGACAUCAGAAGAGUGACACUGUACAGGAAACUGGAAAUAUGAUGAUGAAUCAGGUGGCACAACAGGCAGCUGAAGGAAAAGAAAUUGGUGAACGGCUUUAAUUCCAGACGGUACAUUUGAAAUACCUGAACCUUAGUCAGAACCUAUAAGGUACUCUAGAAAGGAUAGGAAUCUAAUGAAUGAAGGGAAGAGAGCAAGCUGACAGAUGGGUGCAUACCCAGAUGGACACACUGUUGUGCCCAUUAGUAUUUUAUAGAAUUUGGUUCUAAGGGAACAUAAUAAAACAUGGGGGGGUUCAGACACCAGAAAGUAACUGUACAAUCCUAGUACCAGGAACAGGGUACAAGUGGCGCUUGUUGGAAAGGGAACCUUCCAGGACAACAAUUGCAAAUUGAUUUUUUUUUAACUGCCAGGAAAAAUGAGGGUUUUGAGAUAUGCUAGUUCUAACCAAUACCCUUUCAGGGUGACCAGAAGCAUUCCCUUGCAGGACCAAUAGAGCCAAGAAAGUAACCAAGGUACUUUUGCAGGAGAUUAUUCCAAGGUUUGGGUGUCCUGCAACAAUACCCUUCAACCAGGGAACUCAUUUUAUUGCAGAGAUUGUCCCAGAGGUCAGCAAGCAUUGGGAAUAAAUUGGCAAUUGCACACAGCACACAGACCACAGGCGAGUGGUCAGGGGGAAAAGAUGAACUGUCUAAUUAAAUCACAGGGUGUAAAACUGGGCCAGGAAGCUGGACUAUCCUGAUCACAGUUGUUGCCUCUGGCUCUCCUUAGCACCAGAACAAAACCUAGAGCCAAAGAGGGGUUAAGUCCUUUCAAAAUACUGUACAGAAGGCCUUAUGUUGUACAAAAGGGGAUUUCUACCCAAGUAGGGAGCGAAAUACUAACUGAGCAUGUGAUAAGUCUGCAGGAAUAGCUUUGAGAAAAGGAGAAACUGGUUCUAGGAACUAGAGCUCAAGGCCUUGAUAUGGCUCGAUAAUAUGUAUGUAACAAAUCUCUUUAAGAUUCGCCCCUGGAACCAAGGUGGGUAGGUCUGUUCCAGGCGCUGCUAACAUCCCACACAACAGUGAAAGCAUUGUGGAUACAUCAUACUAGAGGUAAGAAGGUCCCUCAAACAGAAUGAGAACUGAAAUCAGCUGGACCCUUAAAAUUGUGAAUCUAAGGACAGAAAUGUGGGCUCUUGUAACUGUUAGAAAUGUUGAUUUGAUGAGUGCAGCAUUUGAUGUAAAUACUUAUGUAUCUCUUGUGACAAACAUUAUUACAUAUCAAUAUUGUUUGGUAUGUGGGCAAGCUAAGGAUUUAAACUUUUUUUUCUUCUUGUUGUUCCUGAUGACUUUAAGGCAAGAAAUCAAACUGUUGCAGGGUUUGAGUCACUGUCCUGGUGGGUGAUGAUCAACAAGAAUGUAGAUUGGGUUAACUACAUCUGUUAUAAUCAAUGGAGAUUUACAAAUUAUACAAAGAGUGCAAUAAAGAGAAUUGCAGGACAGUUAUAUGCCACAAGUAGGGUGGCCUGAGAAAAUAGGAUCUGCUAAGAUAUGAUAAAGGAAUGUAUAUGUAACACUGGGUACCCGUUGUUGCACCUUCAUCCCAAUAACACAGCUCUGGAUGACAUAAUAAUGAAGGCAUUGCAAGGGCUUGGUGCCACCCUUGGCAAUGAAGUGGUAGAAAAAAAAAAAUCAGGAAUAGAUACUUCUGUCACUGGAUGGUUGGAGUUCUGGUUUGGUAAAUGGAAAGGGGUGACUGUAUCCACAUUUACUUCGUUGACAGUAGCAGCAGCAGCCUUGAUGGCCACUGGUUGCUGUGUUAUCCCCUUUGUGAGGGGACUAGUAGAGUGAUUGAUAGAGAGAGCACUACUGAAGCAAGCACUAAUGGAGCCAUUACAUUUGGAUAAAAUUGUGGUAUUAGAGGAGAUGGGAGAUAAAGAAAGUGAAGAUGAGGGCGAUGUCUAUAAAAGUGAACCUUAAAGAAUUGCAGAAAUCAACAAUGUAUAAAAAAAGAAAAAGGGGGGAAUUGUGGGAAUCAAGUGUUGUUUCUGCAUUAGAAUUGUAUAAUAUUAUUUUUAUUUUAUGAUCUCUGCUAUCAUAGUUCCCAGGAACACACUGUAUAUAGGUGUAUAUAUGUACAUUUUGUCAUACACACUGCAAGAAUAUCCUGCACGAGAGCAAACCAGAGAACAAGCCAUGGCAGCCCGAGGAAGCGCCUGACAUUGGGAAGGCCUGCAUCAUCCCCAGUGCUCUUUGUUUAACGAUGAUGACUUUAAAGAAAAUCACCAUAUCAAUAGGACAAGGAGAGCACCGAGACAUCUUGGAGACAACAGGAUGACUGCUGACUGGCACCAGAUAACAAGUAAAUAACAAAUGUAAACCUUCUGAUAAGAUUGUGAACCUGGAGUACCCAGCCAUUGGGGAAACAGGGGAGGGGGAAGGCAAGGGGGAGAAAACAGGGUAUAAAGGCUGUCAUGUUGUGUCCAUAGGAGCGCUCCUACUUGUGGGACGCCCGCCAUUGCAAUCGCGAAUAAAUUCUGCUUUUAUCAGAGAUACCGUCCUGACAAAAUUACUUGGAUUAUUUCCAACACUAUGGUUCAGCCACAGGAGCACAGGUGAGGGCAGUUCAGCUGUGCUAUUGGAAGGGGUGGAGCCUGGCUGCUCCUCUCCUAGAUCCCAGUUAAGUGCUGACUGCCCCUGAGGAAGGAUCUCUUUCUGGAGAUCGCUCCUUGUGGAGUUUGCUGUCAGCCUGUGACACCGGGGUGACUUCUCCAUCUGCUCAUGGUUCUCUUGCCUCAGUAAUUUCUCCCAUUUGGCCUUAUGUCCGUGAUCUGCAGUGACUCUUCUAGAGCAGAUCUGCUGUUAUGUAAAGGACGCCACAGGUUUCACAGAAAUUAGGCUGAUUCAUGAGCUCAACCCUCAUAAGACACCCAGGAGCACCAUGGUACACACCAUGACUGCAGGAAAAGCUCUGGCCACAGUCAU
This is a long non-coding RNA of Lagopus muta (rock ptarmigan), 7228 nucleotides long. RefSeq lists it as uncharacterized. Lineage: Eukaryota; Metazoa; Chordata; Aves; Galliformes; Phasianidae. The record is from RefSeq and is a predicted model, not a curated record. The transcript is spliced from 3 exons.